RNAcentral lists this ribosomal RNA (900 nucleotides) under uncultured bacterium. Its description in RNAcentral is "bacterial SSU rRNA". It matches the Rfam family "Bacterial small subunit ribosomal RNA", at positions 74 to 974 of the family's 1533-position model. The record is from RNAcentral.
UUGCUUUCCUGCCGGCGAGUGGCGAACGGGUGAGUAAUACAUCGGAACGUGCCCUGUAGUGGGGGAUAACUAGUCGAAAGAUUAGCUAAUGCCGCAUACGACCUGAGGGUGAAAGUGGGGGACCGCAAGGCCUCAUGCUAUAGGAGCGGCCGAUGUCUGAUUAGCUAGUUGGUGGGGUAAAGGCCUACCAAGGCGACGAUCAGUAGCUGGUCUGAGAGGACGAUCAGCCACACUGGGACUGAGACACGGCCCAGACUCCUACGGGAGGCAGCAGUGGGGAAUUUUGGACAAUGGGGGCAACCCUGAUCCAGCAAUGCCGCGUGUGUGAAGAAGGCCUUCGGGUUGUAAAGCACUUUUGUCCGGAAAGAAAUCGCACUGGUUAAUACCUGGUGUGGAUGACGGUACCGGAAGAAUAAGGACCGGCUAACUACGUGCCAGCAGCCGCGGUAAUACGUAGGGUCCAAGCGUUAAUCGGAAUUACUGGGCGUAAAGCGUGCGCAGGCGGUUGUGCAAGACCGAUGUGAAAUCCCCGGGCUUAACCUGGGAAUUGCAUUGGUGACUGCACGGCUAGAGUGUGUCAGAGGGGGGUAGAAUUCCACGUGUAGCAGUGAAAUGCGUAGAGAUGUGGAGGAAUACCGAUGGCGAAGGCAGCCCCCUGGGAUAACACCGACGCUCAUGCACGAAAGCGUGGGGAGCAAACAGGAUUAGAUACCCUGGUAGUCCACGCCCUAAACGAUGUCAACUAGUUGUUGGGGAUUCAUUUCCUUAGUAACGUAGCUAACGCGUGAAGUUGACCGCCUGGGGAGUACGGUCGCAAGAUUAAAACUCAAAGGAAUUGACGGGGACCCGCACAAGCGGUGGAUGAUGUGGAUUAAUUCGAUGCAACGCGAAAAACCUUAC